AUUGAACGCUGGCGGCAUGCUUUACACAUGCAAGUCGAACGGUAACAGGCCGCAAGGUGCUGACGAGUGGCGAACGGGUGAGUAAUGCAUCGGAACGUGCCCAGUCGUGGGGGAUAACGCAGCGAAAGCUGCGCUAAUACCGCAUACGAUCUAUGGAUGAAAGCGGGGGACCGUAAGGCCUCGCGCGAUUGGAGCGGCCGAUGUCAGAUUAGGUAGUUGGUGGGGUAAAGGCUCACCAAGCCAACGAUCUGUAGCUGGUCUGAGAGGACGACCAGCCACACUGGGACUGAGACACGGCCCAGACUCCUACGGGAGGCAGCAGUGGGGAAUUUUGGACAAUGGGCGCAAGCCUGAUCCAGCAAUGCCGCGUGCAGGAAGAAGGCCUUCGGGUUGUAACUGCUUUGUACGGUAACGAAAAGGACUCUGGUUAAUACCUGGGCACAUGACGGUACCGUAAGAAUAAGCACCGGCUAACUACGUG
This 481-nucleotide ribosomal RNA is filed under the name uncultured bacterium. RNAcentral's name for it is "bacterial SSU rRNA". It matches the Rfam family "Bacterial small subunit ribosomal RNA", at positions 30 to 507 of the family's 1533-position model. The record is from RNAcentral.